AUCACUUCUCAGCCUUUGAAAUGUAGUAUCUGUUCUUACCAGCUUAAUAUCUGAUAUGUCCCGUAUCUAAAGAAAUACUAGUUUGUCAGGAAAGUCAUGAUGUAUUUUUUUGUUUGUCAAUGCAAAAAUGGGUCAUGAUUUUUGUUGAUGACCAAAUAUAUUAAAUGGACUUUUGGAGCAGGGAAAUGCAAUAGUAGCUUACUCCAUCCACUCCAUGGAUUGACCUGGUAUCGCAUUAACUCCAGGAAUGGUGCAUGCAUG
RNAcentral lists this small nuclear RNA (261 nucleotides) under Tupaia belangeri chinensis (Chinese tree shrew). RNAcentral describes it as "Tupaia chinensis (Chinese tree shrew) U2 spliceosomal RNA". It matches the Rfam family "U2 spliceosomal RNA". Rfam says of the family: U2 is a small nuclear RNA (snRNA) component of the spliceosome (involved in pre-mRNA splicing). Complementary binding between U2 snRNA (in an area lying towards the 5' end but 3' to hairpin I) and the branchpoint sequence (BPS) of the intron results the bulging out of an unpaired adenosine, on the BPS, which initiates a nucleophilic attack at the intronic 5' splice site, thus starting the first of two transesterification reactions that mediate splicing. Lineage: Eukaryota; Metazoa; Chordata; Mammalia; Scandentia; Tupaiidae. The record is from Rfam by way of RNAcentral.